Molecule: long non-coding RNA, 2641 nt
Organism: Fukomys damarensis (Damara mole-rat)
Lineage: Eukaryota; Metazoa; Chordata; Mammalia; Rodentia; Bathyergidae
Exons: 3
Source: RefSeq, a predicted model, not a curated record
GGCCAGGCAGCUGGAGGCUGGGCAGCAGCAGCGCCUGAUCUGCUCUGAGGCCCUUCUGGCUGCGUCUGGAGAUGCGGCUGCUGCUGGUGCUGCCGGUGGUUGCAGAAGUGACCGGCCUUCCGCUGGUGUUUAUAUAUGCAGUUAGCAAGAGUCUACCCGAGCAUGGUCUUAGGAGCGUCCUCUUUGUCAACAUCUGCCUGCCUAUUGUCUUUAAGUACAGAAUAUUUUGUUGCACCGCUGCGCUCCGAUUUUUAUUCAUGAAAUGACUUCCCUUUUUUUUUUUCAGUCACGUAAUGAUCGGGUAUCAGAAAAAAGACGUCAGCAUCCUAGUCCCUCAAGGAAUGUAUUAACUAUUCUGUGCCAUCCUCCAGGAUGAUAAGAUCCGGAGUCAUCGACUUCUCAUAAACACCUUUCACUCAGACAAUCCAAUUUUUAGGAAGUCCAGUUAUUUUGAUGGUUUCCAAUUUCACCCAUUUAUCAAGGGCAGGUAAAGAAUUUGUUUCCAGAAUGGUAAAAAGUCAUCCUUUUUAACCACAUCCACCCUGUUUCUCUUUACUUUUUCAUCAAGCCCCACCACUGAGAGCUGUGGCCUCUGGACUCAAGCACCAUGGAGCUCUCCUAUUAAUAAAUUUAAUUUGGAUCUCCUAAUUUCUUGCGUAUGUUCUUUCAGAUGGACAAUUAAACGUGGAAGUCGUUUUGUUUUUAGAGGGAGGCCUUGAAAGAUUUUCAGUAAAUCUCUUGCGAGUCUAGCUGUCCCUGACAGUCUGGAAAGGAGUACAUCGAUUAGGGCUCUGUCAGGAGCUGGGCCUGUGGAGCUGUCCCUGUUCUGGGUGCUGAACCGCCUGGGCGCAGAUGCUGCAGGCAUGUUAAAUUGUCACCGGUUUAAUUUUCACCAGAGCCUCUAAAUCUGAAGAUUUGGCAGUGGUGCUGUUAGUGUGACAAUUCGUUGUCUAAAUCACCCCUCUUUUCCAAUCUAUCCCCCUCCCAGUGUCUACAAAGGCCCUCCAGUCUCCAUACUUGCUUUAGACCUCACUAAAAGGCACUCUGUCCUUUUAGUCCUGGUGUUUGGAUCUCCAGAUCUCCUGUUUGUACAACCUCACACUUUCUGUGCCUCUUACUGAUUUUAAAACUCGAAACUGGGACAUUAUGUUUUCCACGAGAAUUGAAAUUGUAAGAAUUGGGGGGUGAGAAAUGGGCUUUUUACACUUUCUUUACAAGUUAAAUUCUGUUUGGGGAAAUAUAGGCAGACUGGGAACGCAGGAUCCCCAGUACAAGUUCCUUUGCUGAGGGUUCCUAACGGGAAUCCCUCCCUUGGGAAUGACUAAAUUAUUUUAACUGAAAAUGACGUGGGAAGGAGAAAGCAAUGGGGGAGGACCUUAUCUGCCCUAAACCUUACAAGUCUCCAAGUAAUUUCUAAAAGAGUUAUAAAUAGGUACUCCAGUAAAAGAUCUUGGGUCUGUUUCUUCUAAAAAGGAAAUAGACUCAUCAAUAACCAUUAGCAUACAUUUUAAUUAUUGGAUCUCACACAAAAAUUAGAAGGAAUGUCAAUUAACUGAGAGUGUUUCCUGUUACUAUGAUUUGGAUCUAGCACUUCAAUAAGCAAUGUUCGUUCUGAAUAAUUUUUCCAAGCCCCAUUUCUCUUUCCCAAUGGCUUUCCCGCUCUUUGAGAUGAAAUACUUCCUGCAAGAAGGAAACGUUUUGCUAAUUCUGUGAAGGACCCCAGACUGCCUGCCACUUCUUAGUUUCUCACUCGCCUGCCCUCAGUAAUGCUCCAAACCACAGCGACAGGAAGUGUACAUCUUUGUCUCUGCUGCACAUGUCUGCAGAUCUAUGUUGCAGUGUUUACACGGGUGUGUUGUGUGUUCCUGUUCGGCUGUGCCUCUGCGCACACACAAAGAGCCUGCAGUGAACUGGACCAGACCGGCAAGCUGAGACGCCUUUCUUACUAAAGCGCCCAAAGCUAUUACCUGCUGUGGCUUUCCUGUCUUCCGCCUCUCGUCAAAGGAUCCCACUCUCUGAAGCAUCUCCAAUCAGAAAAGCUACAGCUACAUGGGAAUCUCCAUCUGCUCCUUCCUUGCAAAUCAGCGAAAUUGUGAUGACUAAUGGCUCACUUCAUCCCGGCGACACCUGUAGGGAAACCCAAAUGUUCUGCCCUGGAGCAUCGCGCCACCGCUGACUGGACCGCCUGCCUCAUGCGCUCCUGAACUCACCCUGAAGUAACGAGGGAUGAUGGAUCCGGCAUGUGUCACGGCUGCUCUGACCUUCAGAAUGCACUGCCUCACCACCGCUCUGAAAACAAGCAGGAGAGGAAAGCCAGAAAGCCAUCCAAACCACGAGAGCAGAGCAGCUCCCUCUGAUCCGAGCCCAGAGCUGCCUAUUCACAGGGCCAAGGGAUUUUCUCGGUUGUUUGCAGAUACAAAACAGACAUCCAAGAAACAAACACCAGGAUGUAAACUGUGCCAGGCUUUGGGUGAUUUCAAGCAGCACAUACAUGUGAGUCCUCCAAAGCCUAAUUUUCCAAAUGUCAGCUUACUUGUGAAUAAAAUAUAUAUUUUAAACUUCACUGCCUGGCAUCUGCCGAAUUCUACGGACAGAAGUUCCAGAACAUCUCUUCUUAACGUCCUCUCAGUUCAGUCUAAAU